Molecule: ribosomal RNA, 767 nt
Filed under: unidentified microorganism
Description: bacterial SSU rRNA
Rfam family: Bacterial small subunit ribosomal RNA
Source: RNAcentral
ACAUGCAAGUCGAGCGGACAGAAGGGAGCUUGCUCCCGGAUGUUAGCGGCGGACGGGUGAGUAACACGUGGGUAACCUGCCUGUAAGACUGGGAUAACUCCGGGAAACCGGAGCUAAUACCGGAUAGUUCCUUGAACCGCAUGGUUCAAGGAUGAAAGACGGUUUCGGCUGUCACUUACAGAUGGACCCGCGGCGCAUUAGCUAGUUGGUGAGGUAACGGCUCACCAAGGCGACGAUGCGUAGCCGACCUGAGAGGGUGAUCGGCCACACUGGGACUGAGACACGGCCCAGACUCCUACGGGAGGCAGCAGUAGGGAAUCUUCCGCAAUGGACGAAAGUCUGACGGAGCAACGCCGCGUGAGUGAUGAAGGUUUUCGGAUCGUAAAGCUCUGUUGUUAGGGAAGAACAAGUGCAAGAGUAACUGCUUGCACCUUGACGGUACCUAACCAGAAAGCCACGGCUAACUACGUGCCAGCAGCCGCGGUAAUACGUAGGUGGCAAGCGUUGUCCGGAAUUAUUGGGCGUAAAGGGCUCGCAGGCGGUUUCUUAAGUCUGAUGUGAAAGCCCCCGGCUCAACCGGGGAGGGUCAUUGGAAACUGGGAAACUUGAGUGCAGAAGAGGAGAGUGGAAUUCCACGUGUAGCGGUGAAAUGCGUAGAGAUGUGGAGGAACACCAGUGGCGAAGGCGACUCUCUGGUCUGUAACUGACGCUGAGGAGCGAAAGCGUGGGGAGCGAACAGGAUUAGAUACCCUGGUAGUCCACGCCGU